RNAcentral lists this ribosomal RNA (276 nucleotides) under uncultured bacterium. RNAcentral describes it as "partial 16S ribosomal RNA". It matches the Rfam family "Bacterial small subunit ribosomal RNA", at positions 79 to 353 of the family's 1533-position model. The record is from RNAcentral.
CUAAGUUUGAUGGCGACCGGCGCACGGGUGAGUAGCACGUAUCCAACCUGCCGAUGACUCGGGGGAUAGCCUUUCGAAAGAAAGAUUAAUACCCGAUGGCAUAGUUCUUCCGCAUGGUAGAACUAUUAAAGAAUUUCGGUCAUCGAUGGGGAUGCGUUCCAUUAGGUUGUUGGCGGGGUAACGGCCCACCAAGCCUUCGAUGGAUAGGGGUUCUGAGAGGAAGGUCCCCCACAUUGGAACUGAGACACGGUCCAAACUCCUACGGGAGGCAGCAUG